This is a long non-coding RNA of Armigeres subalbatus, 396 nucleotides long. RefSeq lists it as uncharacterized. Lineage: Eukaryota; Metazoa; Arthropoda; Insecta; Diptera; Culicidae. The transcript has 2 exons. The record is from RefSeq and is a predicted model, not a curated record.
UACAAAAGCGACAACUGUCAUUUUUUUGUUCCGGAUUUGUUCGGUGGUGCCUCGGAAUUAACUUUUUCCAGAUUUUGCCGUGAAGUUCCUGCGUUUAUGCAGACAGCAAUAUGGAACCGGAAGAUCAAUUGCCAGUUGCCAGGCACUCCCCGACGAGCCCCGAGCAAUCCCCAUGACUGGCAGGAAAAAUAUGGCACAAUGUAUAUAGCUCAUCUAGAUGGCUGCGCAUCACAAUUCAAAAAGAAUGGCUAUGGUUUAUUGUCAAUAUUUUAAAAUCCUGUCUAGAAAAAUCCUGCUGAUCUAAACGGUGCUGAUAAUUACAUACUUUGUAUUUAUGAUCUGACCCCGAUGGAAUAAAACACCUAUGUGAAGUUUGAAAUAAACAAACAAAACUAA